AAAUAAGUAAGCUAAUAAAGCUAAUGGGUUCAUACCCCAUCAAUAAAGGUUUAUUCCUUUCUUAUUUA
This 68-nucleotide transfer RNA is filed under the name Figulus binodulus. Its description in RNAcentral is "tRNA-Met". Lineage: Eukaryota; Metazoa; Arthropoda; Insecta; Coleoptera; Lucanidae. The record is from RNAcentral.